Molecule: ribosomal RNA, 447 nt
Filed under: uncultured bacterium
Lineage: Bacteria
Description: bacterial SSU rRNA
Rfam family: Bacterial small subunit ribosomal RNA
Source: RNAcentral
CAUGCAAGUCGAACGAGAAAUCCCGAGCAAUCGGGAGAGUAAAGUGGCGCACGGGUGAGUAACGCGUGGGUAAUCUACCCUCGAGUUGGGAAUAACACCUCGAAAGGGGUGCUAAUACCUGAUAAUAUUCCGGUAACUUCGGUUGCUGGAAUUAAAGAUGGCUGAGGCUUGCACGCUAUCACUCAAGGAUGAGCCCGCGUACCAUUAGCUAGUUGGUAGGGUAAUGGCCUACCAAGGCAAUGAUGGUUAGCUGGUCUGAGAGGAUGGCCAGCCACACUGGAACUGAGAUACGGUCCAGACUCCUACGGGAGGCAGCAGUGAGGAAUCUUGCGCAAUGGGGGAAACCCUGACGCAGCAACGCCGCGUGAGUGAUGAAGGCCUUCGGGUCGUAAAGCUCUGUCAGAUGGGAAGAAAGUUCUUGUAGUGAAUAACUGCGGGGAUAGACGG